GGCAGUGCAGCAUAGCUAUGUACGGACGGGAUAACCGCUGAAAGCAUCUAAGCGGGAAACCCACCUCAAAACGAGUAUUCCCUUGAGAACCGUGGAAGACGACCACGUUGAUAGGCCGGGUGUGUAAGUGCAGUAAUGUACGUAGCUUACCGGUACUAAUCGUUCGACUGGCUUGAUUGCUCUCAUUUU
This 189-nucleotide ribosomal RNA is filed under the name bacterium. Its description in RNAcentral is "partial 23S ribosomal RNA". It matches the Rfam family "Bacterial large subunit ribosomal RNA", at positions 2734 to 2925 of the family's 2925-position model. The record is from RNAcentral.